Molecule: ribosomal RNA, 253 nt
Filed under: uncultured bacterium
Lineage: Bacteria
Description: partial 16S ribosomal RNA
Rfam family: Bacterial small subunit ribosomal RNA
Source: RNAcentral
UACGGGGGGGGCAAGCGUUGUUCGGAAUUACUGGGCGUAAAGGGCUCGUAGGUGGCCAACUCAGUCAGACGUGAAAUCCCCAGGCUCAACUUGGGAACUGCGUCUGAUACUGGAUGGCUUGAAUUCGGGAGAGGGAUGCAGAAUUCCAGGUGUAGCGGUGAAAUGCGUAGAUAUCUGGAGGAAUACCGGUGGCGAAGGCGGCAUCCUGGACCGAGAUUGACACUGAUGAGCGAAAGCUAGGGGAGCAAACGGG